CUGUAUCUUCCCUCCCCCACCUCCUGUUUGCUCUGAUUUCAGAUCCUAAACAUCACUGUGAAAGCCCCAGCCUGCUGCUGAGCCAGCUGCUGCCCCACAUGGAGAAGAUGGGUUCCCAUAUUGACAUUCUGGAGCAGUCACUGAAUUCAGCAAGCAUGUACUGAGCAGCUAGUAUAGACUGGGCUGCUUCUCUGGACUUGUGUGAUCAUCUGUGAAACACAACCAGGACUUCUAACUAAUGAUGACUUCUGAGGCCCCUUCCAGCUCUAACACAGGCAUGGCGUGAUAUUAGAUUGAAUCUCAGUGGCCCUGAGUCAC
This 318-nucleotide long non-coding RNA is filed under the name Rhinopithecus bieti (black snub-nosed monkey). Its description in RNAcentral is "lncRNA (ENSRBIG00000045943.1)". The record is from RNAcentral. Lineage: Eukaryota; Metazoa; Chordata; Mammalia; Primates; Cercopithecidae.